This 561-nucleotide ribosomal RNA is filed under the name uncultured archaeon. Its description in RNAcentral is "bacterial SSU rRNA". It matches the Rfam family "Archaeal small subunit ribosomal RNA", at positions 176 to 738 of the family's 1478-position model. The record is from RNAcentral.
CGGUUUGUGUUCCAAAUGAUUUAUCGCCGUAGGAUGGGACUGCGGCCUAUCAGUUUGUUGGUGAGGUAAUGGCCCACCAAGACUAUUACAGGUACGGGCUCUGAGAGGAGUAGCCCGGAGAUGGGUACUGAGACACGGACCCAGGCCCUAUGGGGCGCAGCAGGCGAGAAAACUUUGCAAUGUGCGAAAGCACGACAAGGUUAAUCCGAGUGGUUUCUGCUAAAGGAACCUUUUGUCGGUCCUAGAAACACCGAUGAAUAAGGGGUGGGCAAGUUCUGGUGUCAGCCGCCGCGGUAAAACCAGCACCUCAAGUGGUCAGGAUGAUUAUUGGGCCUAAAGCAUCCGUAGCCUGCUUUGUAAGUUUUCGGUUAAAUCUGUGCGCUCAACGUACAGGCUGCCGGGAAUACUGCAAAGCUAGGGAGUGGGAGAGGUAGACGGUACUCGGUAGGAAGGGGUAAAAUCCUUUGAUCUAUUGAUGACCACCUGUGGCGAAGGCGGACUACCAGAACACGUCCGACGGUGAGGGAUGAAAGCUGGGGGAGCAAACCGGAUUAGAUACCC